UGCAAGUCGAGCGGACAGAUAAGGAGCUUGCUCCUUUGACGUUAGCGGCGGACGGGUGAGUAACACGUGGGCAACCUGCCCCUUAGACUGGGAUAACUCCGGGAAACCGGAGCUAAUACCGGAUAAUCCCUUUCUCCACCUGGAGAGAGGGUGAAAGAUGGCUUCGGCUAUCACUAAGGGAUGGGCCCGCGGCGCAUUAGCUAGUUGGUAAGGUAACGGCUUACCAAGGCAACGAUGCGUAGCCGACCUGAGAGGGUGAUCGGCCACACUGGGACUGAGACACGGCCCAGACUCCUACGGGAGGCAGCAGUAGGGAAUCUUCCGCAAUGGACGAAAGUCUGACGGAGCAACGCCGCGUGAGUGAGGAAGGCCUUCGGGUCGUAAAGCUCUGUUGUGAGGGAAGAAGCGGUACCGUUCGAAUAGGGCGGUACCUUGACGGUACCUCACCAGAAAGCCACGGCUAACUACGUGCCAGCAGCCGCGGUAAUACGUAGGUGGCAAGCGUUGUCCGGAAUUAUUGGGCGUAAAGCGCGCGCAGGCGGCUUCUUAAGUCUGAUGUGAAAUCUCGGGGCUCAACCCCGAGCGGCCAUUGGAAACUGGGGAGCUUGAGUGCAGAAGAGGAGAGUGGAAUUCCACGUGUAGCGGUGAAAUGCGUAGAGAUGUGGAGGAACACCAGUGGCGAAGGCGACUCUCUGGUCUGUAACUGACGCUGAGGCGCGAAAGCGUGGGGAGCAAACAGGAUUAGAUACUCUGGUAGUCCACGCCGUAAACGAUGAGUGCUAGGUGUUAGGGGUUUCGAUGCCCGUAGUGCCGAAGUUAACACAUUAAGCACUCCGCCUGGGGAGUACGGCCGCAAGGCUGAAACUCAGAGGAAUUGACGGGGACCCGCACAAGCAGUGGAGCAUGUGGUUUAAUUCGAAGCAACGCGAAGAACCUUACCAGGUCUUGACAUCCUUUGACCACCCAAGAGAUUGGGCUUCCUCUUCGGGGGCAAAGUGAC
Molecule: ribosomal RNA, 1000 nt
Filed under: Alkalihalobacillus sp. NCCP-2335
Lineage: Bacteria; Bacillati; Bacillota; Bacilli; Caryophanales; Bacillaceae
Description: bacterial SSU rRNA
Rfam family: Bacterial small subunit ribosomal RNA
Source: RNAcentral